Molecule: ribosomal RNA, 431 nt
Filed under: uncultured bacterium
Lineage: Bacteria
Description: partial 16S ribosomal RNA
Rfam family: Bacterial small subunit ribosomal RNA
Source: RNAcentral
AACGAACGCUGGCGGCAGGCCUAACACAUGCAAGUCGAGCGCCCCGCAAGGGGCGCGGCGGACGGGUGAGUAACGCGUGGGCAUAUGCCCUUUGCUACGGAAUAGUCUCGGGAAACUGGGGGUAAUACCGUAUACGCCCUUUGGGGGAAAGAUUUAUCGGCGAAGGAUUAGCCCGCGUUGGAUUAGGUAGUUGGUGGGGUAAUGGCCUACCAAGCCGACGAUCCAUAGCUGGUUUGAGAGGAUGAUCAGCCACACUGGGACUGAGACACGGCCCAGACUCCUACGGGAGGCAGCAGUGGGGAAUCUUAGACAAUGGGGGCAACCCUGAUCUAGCCAUGCCGCGUGAGUGAUGAAGGCCUUAGGGUUGUAAAGCUCUUUCAGCUGGGAAGAUAAUGACGGUACCAGCAGAAGAAGCCCCGGCUAACUCCGUG